This 937-nucleotide long non-coding RNA is filed under the name Apteryx owenii (little spotted kiwi). Its description in RNAcentral is "lncRNA (ENSAOWG00000004955.1)". The record is from RNAcentral. Lineage: Eukaryota; Metazoa; Chordata; Aves; Apterygiformes; Apterygidae.
AUGUCUCACACCAGGGCUUGCAAAGCACGCUCAGCUCUGCGGCAGGGGCUCGCUUUGCUUUUUUUCCUGAACAACCCAUCCCACCCUGCCAGGAGCCCUCUAAAAGUGCCGCCUGCUCCCGGUUGCGGCUGCUUCGGCAGGAAGCUGGCGAGGGCUAUUCCCGUCUCCGAGGGGAAAGGCCUCAAAGAGGAAUAUUCCAGAAGCAGCGCUCCCCAAGAACCGCCGUGUCACCGGAGGAAACGCUUACAAACGCCUCUUCCUCCAGCCUCCUCACCAGCGGCGCUCGAGCGCGCCCCAGCUUCCUGCCCUGCCUCCCCGAGCGCUCCCGCGUCCCCCCGCGGGCACCGGCCGGGCUCUGCCCGCAGCAGGGCUCGCUGGCCGCUUCCCUCCCGGCCGCCCCGAGCGAACGUCCCGCGGUGCAACCCACGCCUGCUGGGUUUAGGCUGGUGCUCCCGGGGCGGCGGAAGCGCGCGCGAGGGAGCCGCCGGCCCCGCCGCCGUGACGCCGCGCUCUCUGCGGGAGCGGAGGGACGGAGCCGCGCGCAGGGACGGCCGACGCCGGAAGCGUGAGCAAGCGAGACAUACGGAAAGUGCAUCGUCAGAGCAUCAAGCAGGAAUGGGCACUCGGGAGCAUCACCCACCUCUGCUCUUCCCAGCAAGGGAAUCACUGAGCUCUGCUCAGCAGCCUGGACAAGGAAGAUCAGUGCCUCAUCCUCCCCAGCAAAUGCUGACCUUUGCAUCCUCCGCGACUUUAUCCCAUUCUCUGAAAGAAGCAUGAAAGAGUACAUCACCCCAUGAGCUACUGUCAGGAGAAGUUUUCUAGAUGUCCAAUUUACCUGGGGAGAAUUCAGCUAUGUCCAAAAACCUGAUCUGACCUGGAACCAUUUGUCCCAAACGCACCAGGGACAACAGCCAGACCCUGAAGCCGCUAACGCUGG